This 269-nucleotide ribosomal RNA is filed under the name uncultured prokaryote. RNAcentral's name for it is "partial 16S ribosomal RNA". It matches the Rfam family "Bacterial small subunit ribosomal RNA", at positions 524 to 792 of the family's 1533-position model. The record is from RNAcentral.
UACGGAGGAUCCGAGCGUUAUCCGGAUUUAUUGGGUUUAAAGGGUGCGCAGGCGGAAGAUUAAGUCGGUGGUGAAAUUUUGCAGCUCAACUGUAAAAGUGCCUUCGAAACUGGUUUCCUUGAGUGUAGAUGAAGUAGGCGGAAUUUGUGGUGUAGCGGUGAAAUGCAUAGAUAUCACGAGGAACUCCGAUUGCGAAGGCAGCUUACUAAGCUACUACUGACGCUCAGGCACGAAGGCGUGGGGAUCAAACAGGAUUAGAUACCCUGGUA